This 604-nucleotide ribosomal RNA is filed under the name Trichiscus sp. MC-2010. RNAcentral describes it as "eukaryotic LSU rRNA". Lineage: Eukaryota; Metazoa; Arthropoda; Insecta; Hymenoptera; Bethylidae. The record is from RNAcentral.
AAAGAUCGAAUGGGGAGAUUCAUCGUCAGCGACGCUGGCUACGCGGUGGCUCGUGAUGUCGUGGGAUCUCGGUCCCGCGAUACGCGUCGCCGCGUUGCGUCCGGUGGCGUCGGCGUGCACUUCUCCCCUAGUAGGACGUCGCGACCCGUUGGGUGCCGAUCUAGGGCCCGGGUGGGCGUCUGUCGCGUCGCUUCGGCGCACGCGGCAAACCCCCGGUCGCCUGUUGUAUCGGCUGCUCGGCGGUACUCCCAUGGUAUCGGGCCGCAAGUCACUCGAACUGCGUCGGGCCCGCCGCAAGCGCGGUCAGCGUCUCGCGGAGGUACGGAACUAUACGCCGUCCCCGUGCCUGGCCAGCUGUUGGCAGGCGGUGUCCUCUGACAGGCCAAGAACUUCGAAAGUGUGAUACCGGUCGGCGACGCUACUGCUUUGGGUAAUCUCAGGACCCGUCUUGAAACACGGACCAAGGAGUCUAACAUGUGCGCGAGUCAUUGGGACCGCAUGCCUAAAGGCGAAAUGAAAGUGAAGGUCGGCCCUAGCGCCGACCGAGGGAGGAUGGGCCGCGUCGCGAUGCGGCUUCGCACUCCCGGGGCGUCUCGUUCUCAUC